UAGGGAAUCUUCCACAAUGGACGCAAGUCUGAUGGAGCAACGCCGCGUGAGUGAAGAAGGCUUUCGGGUCGUAAAACUCUGUUAUUGAAGAAGAACGUGUGUGACAGUAACUGGUCAUGUAGUGACGGUAUUCAAUCAGAAAGUCACGGCUAACUACGUGCCAGCAGCCGCGGUAAUACGUAGGUGGCAAGCGUUGUCCGGAUUUAUUGGGCGUAAAGCGAGUGCAGGCGGUCUUUUAAGUCUGAUGUGAAAGCCUUCGGCUUAACCGAAGAAGGGCAUCGGAAACUGGGAGACUUGAGUGCAGAAGAGG
This 310-nucleotide ribosomal RNA is filed under the name uncultured bacterium. RNAcentral describes it as "partial 16S ribosomal RNA". It matches the Rfam family "Bacterial small subunit ribosomal RNA", at positions 355 to 657 of the family's 1533-position model. The record is from RNAcentral.